This 1472-nucleotide long non-coding RNA is filed under the name Phasianus colchicus (ring-necked pheasant). RNAcentral describes it as "lncRNA (ENSPCLG00000018979.1)". Lineage: Eukaryota; Metazoa; Chordata; Aves; Galliformes; Phasianidae. The record is from RNAcentral.
AGAAAGCAGCCUGUUACAGCAGUAAUUAAAAGCGUUGCUGGAAAGUGCUUGCAUGCUCUUCCUUUGACUCCUGCAGGGCUCUUUUUAAAAUAUGAGUGACCAGACUUGCUUGAAGAUGCAGUGGUUGCCCUGAAACAGGAUCAAGUUCAGAGGCUUUCCCCUGAGACUGGAGAGUGGAAGAGUCUCAGAUCUCAUCAUACGGAUCCUGUCUUUCCUCUUGGCACUGUCACUUCUUUUAGAAGAUCAAGCAUCUGUUCUUAUCUCCCACACUAGUGUCAGUGGACAGAAGGAUGCAGCGGCCUGCCUGCCCUGCUCCUGCGCUGUCAGGUCUCAUGGAUUUCCUUCAAUAGGGAGCAUUCACACAGUUGCACAAUGGUUGAAGUUGGAAGGGACCUCUGGAGUUGAUCUAGCCCAGCCUCUUUGCAGGGUCCCUACAGCAUGUUUCUUGGGAUGGUGUCCAGGUGGCUUUUGAAUAUCUCCAGGGAAGGAGACUCACUCCACAUUCCCUCUGGGCAGCCCGUUUCGAUGGCUCUGUCACCCUCACAGUCAAGAUUUUUCACAUAUUGGCAAGUUCUUUCUGUAGUCAUGUAGUCAAGGAACUUUAGCCAUCAGCCAUUGAAAUCAGCCAGUUUGUUUUCUCAAGAAGAAGGAAAAGACAUUUUAGCAGUUUCUUGAUGUGUCCACUCUGGUUAGUGUGUAUAGUAAAUAGGAGGCUUAUCUUCAAAAGUGUCAGUGGCAUACAGUGCUGCAACACAUAUUCUACAGGGAAACAACCGAAGUAGAGAGAGAUAAAAAGCAAAUUUGUCCAAAGUUUCUAAUUACAUUUGGAGGUUGGUAAUUACCUAAUGAGAGUCUCAGAACUGCCCUAACAACUGAGGCGUCAAGAUUCUGUUUCUGCACUGCAACCAUGUAGGACUGGAGUAUCAAACUCGUUUGUGUACUUCUGAAAUGGCAGUGAGGCAAUUACAGCACCUCAGUAUCUUGGAAGAUGGAACACUAAGUAUGUUCUCUGUAUGAGAUGUUCUCCGGUCUAACAAAGCUCUAUAAAGUUGUUUUCCUCACUUACCCAUCCUCAUUGUUGGCUUAUUGUUCCUGCUUUUAUCACACAGCUUUUAGAGAGCCCCUUCAACUGUGUCAAAGGAAUUGUCAGCUUUGUUGACAAUAGAAAAGAGAUGAACUAGUGUGAGUCAAAAUAAUAGAAUCAUGAAAUGGUUUGGGUUUGAAGGGGCCUUCAAGUUCACCUAGUUUUAAUCCCCUACCUUGAGCAGGGGACAUCUCCUGCAAGAUCAGGCUGCCCAGGGUCCCAUCCAACUUGGCCUUGAACACUUCCUGGGAUGGGGCAUCCACAACUUCUCUGGGCAGCCUGUUCUAGUGACUCACCACCUUCCACAAGGAUAGGGAUAGGGAAGGAUAGGUACGUAUGAAAUUGGCUUAGCUCCAAGAUUUGGCUUAUGAAAAAUUACCCUGAAGAU